GGUAGCGUAAUCACUUGUUUUUUAAAUAAAGACCUGUAUGAAUGGUGAAACGAGGGCUUAACUGUCUCCCUCUUUUGAUCAGUGAAAUUGAUCUGCCCGUGCAGAAGCGGGCAUAAAUAUACAAGACGAGAAGACCCUAUGGAGCUUAAGACAAUAUAAUCAACUACUAUCCCUUCCCCUCUUUUUAAAGGUGUUAAACAAAGCAGGAAUUGAUUAACGUCUUCGGUUGGGGCGACCACGGGGGAAAACAAAUCCCCCAUGUGGAAUGGGGUAAACCCUAAAACCACGAGGCACACCUCUAAGUCACAGAACUUCUGACCAAAAGAUCCGGCAACUCAGCCGAUCAACGAACCAAGUUACCCUAGGGAUAACAGCGCAAUCCCCUCCAAGAGUCCAUAUCGACAAGGGGGUUUACGACCUCGAUGUUGGAUCAGGACAUCCUAAUGGUGCAGCCGCUAUUAAGGGUUCGUUUGUUCAACGAUUAA
RNAcentral lists this ribosomal RNA (485 nucleotides) under Ctenobrycon magdalenae. RNAcentral describes it as "Astyanax magdalenae partial 16S large subunit ribosomal RNA". It matches the Rfam family "Bacterial large subunit ribosomal RNA", at positions 1955 to 2591 of the family's 2925-position model. Lineage: Eukaryota; Metazoa; Chordata; Actinopteri; Characiformes; Acestrorhamphidae. The record is from RNAcentral.